ACGGUUAUAAAUCAACAUAUUGAUUUAUAAGCAUGGAAAUCUCCUGAGUGAAACAACGAAUUGCUGUGUGUAGUCUUUGCCCAUCUCCCACGAUGGGCUUUUUUUUAA
This 108-nucleotide non-coding RNA is filed under the name Escherichia coli. Its description in RNAcentral is "antisense sRNA RprA". It matches the Rfam family "RprA RNA". Rfam says of the family: Translational regulation of the stationary phase sigma factor RpoS is mediated by the formation of a double-stranded RNA stem-loop structure in the upstream region of the rpoS messenger RNA, occluding the translation initiation site. Clones carrying rprA (RpoS regulator RNA A) increased the translation of RpoS. Lineage: Bacteria; Pseudomonadati; Pseudomonadota; Gammaproteobacteria; Enterobacterales; Enterobacteriaceae. The record is from RNAcentral.